GAUGAACGCUGGCGGCGUGCCUAAUACAUGCAAGUCGAGCGAACAGACGAGGAGCUUGCUCCUCUGACGUCAGCGGCGGACGGGUGAGUAACACGUGGAUAACCUACCUAUAAGACUGGGAUAACUUCGGGAAACCGGAGCUAAUACCGGAUAAUAUAUUGAACCGCAUGGUUCAAUAGUGAAAGACGGUUUUGCUGUCACUUAUAGCUGGAUCCGCGCCGCAUUAGCUAGUUGGUAAGGUAACGGCUUACCAAGGCAACGAUGCGUAGCCGACCUGAGAGGGUGAACGGCCACACUGGAACUGAGACACGGUCCAGACUCCUACGGGGGGCAGCAGUAGGGAAUCUUCCGCAAUGGGCGAAAGCCUGACGGAGCAACGCCGCGUGAGUGAUGAAGGUCUUCGGAUCGUAAAACUCUGUUAUUAGGGAAGAACAAAUGUGUAAGUAACUAUGCACGUCUUGACGGUACCUAAUCAGAAAGCCACGGCUAACUACGUG
Molecule: ribosomal RNA, 497 nt
Filed under: uncultured bacterium
Lineage: Bacteria
Description: partial 16S ribosomal RNA
Rfam family: Bacterial small subunit ribosomal RNA
Source: RNAcentral